Molecule: ribosomal RNA, 515 nt
Filed under: uncultured bacterium
Lineage: Bacteria
Description: partial 16S ribosomal RNA
Rfam family: Bacterial small subunit ribosomal RNA
Source: RNAcentral
GAUGAACGCUGGCGGCGUGCCUAAUACAUGCAAGUCGAGCGAAUGGAUUAAGAGCUUGCUCUUAUGAAGUUAGCGGCGGACGGGUGAGUAACACGUGGGUAAUCUGCCCUUAAGACUGGGAUAACUCCGGGAAACCGGGGCUAAUACCGGAUAACAUUUUGAACCGCAUGGUUCGAAAUUGAAAGGCGGCUUCGGCUGUCACUUAUGGAUGGACCCGCGUCGCAUUAGCUAGUUGGUGAGGUAACGGCUCACCAAGGCAACGAUGCGUAGCCGGCCUGGGAGGGUGAGCGGCCGCACUGGGACGGAGGCACGGCCCAGACGCCUACGGGAGGCAGCAGUAGGGAAUCUGCCGCAUUGGACGAAAGUCUGACGGGGCAACGCCGCGUGAGUGAUGAAGGCUUUCGGGUCGUAAAACUCUGUUGUUAGGGAAGAACAAGUGCUAGUUGAAUAAGCUGGCACCUUGACGGUACCUAACCAGAAAGCCACGGCUAACUACGUGCCAGCCGCCGCGGUAA